GAGUAAGAAAUUUUUGAACUAGCCAAACGCACCUGGAAAGGACGACCAUAGAAGGUGAUAGUCCUGUAGGCGA
This 73-nucleotide ribosomal RNA is filed under the name SAR202 cluster bacterium. RNAcentral describes it as "partial 23S ribosomal RNA". Lineage: Bacteria; Bacillati; Chloroflexota; Dehalococcoidia. The record is from RNAcentral.